RNAcentral lists this ribosomal RNA (483 nucleotides) under uncultured bacterium. RNAcentral's name for it is "bacterial SSU rRNA". It matches the Rfam family "Bacterial small subunit ribosomal RNA", at positions 501 to 987 of the family's 1533-position model. The record is from RNAcentral.
CUACGUGCCAGCAGCCGCGGUAAUACGGAAGGUCCGGGCGUUAUCCGGAUUUAUUGGGUUUAAAGGGAGCGUAGGCCGGGGAUUAAGUGUGUUGUGAAAUGUAGGCGCUCAACGUCUGAUGUGCAGCGCAUACUGGUUCCCUUGAGUACGCGCAACGCCGGCGGAAUUCGUCGUGUAGCGGUGAAAUGCUUAGAUAUGACGAAGAACCCCGAUUGCGAAGGCAGCCGGCGGGAGCGCAACUGACGCUGAAGCUCGAAGGUGCGGGUAUCGAACAGGAUUAGAUACCCUGGUAGUCCGCACGGUAAACGAUGGAUGCCCGCUCUCGGCGCCUGGCGCCGGGGGCCAAGCGAAAGCGUUAAGCAUCCCACCUGGGGAGUACGCCGGCAACGGUGAAACUCAAAGGAAUUGACGGGGGCCCGCACAAGCGGAGGAACAUGUGGUUUAAUUCGACGCAACGCGAAGAACCUUACCAGGUCUUGACAU